Molecule: ribosomal RNA, 253 nt
Filed under: uncultured bacterium
Lineage: Bacteria
Description: partial 16S ribosomal RNA
Rfam family: Archaeal small subunit ribosomal RNA
Source: RNAcentral
UACCAGCACCCCGAGUGGUCGGGACGAUUAUUGGGCCUAAAGCAUCCGUAGCCGGUCAUGCAAGUCCUCCGUUAAAUCCACCUGCUUAACAGAUGGGCUGCGGAGGAUACUACAAGGCUAGGAGGCGGAAGAGGCAAGCGGUACUCAGUGGGUAGGGGUAAAAUCCUCUGAUCCAUUGAGGACCACCAGUGGCGAAGGCGGCUUGCCAAUACGCGCUCGACGGUGAGGGAUGAAAGCUGGGGGAGCAAACCGG